This 110-nucleotide non-coding RNA is filed under the name uncultured Clostridium sp. Its description in RNAcentral is "FMN riboswitch (RFN element)". It matches the Rfam family "FMN riboswitch aptamer (RFN element)". From Rfam's summary of the family: The RFN element is a highly conserved domain that is found frequently in the 5'-untranslated regions of prokaryotic mRNAs that encode for flavin mononucleotide (FMN) biosynthesis and transport proteins. The record is from RNAcentral. Lineage: Bacteria; Bacillati; Bacillota; Clostridia; Eubacteriales; Clostridiaceae.
AUCUUCAGGGCAGGGUGCAAGUCCCUACCGGUGGUAUAGCCCACGAGCUAGUUAUUAGCAUGAUUUGGUGAAAUUCCAAAGCCGACAGUAUAGUCUGGAUGAAAGAAGAA